Molecule: ribosomal RNA, 429 nt
Filed under: Pseudomonadota bacterium
Lineage: Bacteria; Pseudomonadati; Pseudomonadota
Description: Proteobacteria bacterium partial 16S ribosomal RNA
Rfam family: Bacterial small subunit ribosomal RNA
Source: RNAcentral
UGGGGAAUAUUGGACAAUGGGCGAAAGCCUGAUCCAGCCAUGCCGCGUGUGUGAAGAAGGUCUUCGGAUUGUAAAGCACUUUAAGUUGGGAGGAAGGGCAGUAAGCGAAUACCUUGCUGUUUUGACGUUACCGACAGAAUAAGCACCGGCUAACUCUGUGCCAGCAGCCGCGGUAAUACAGAGGGUGCAAGCGUUAAUCGGAAUUACUGGGCGUAAAGCGCGCGUAGGUGGUUCGUUAAGUUGAAUGUGAAAGCCCCGGGCUCAACCUGGGAACUGCAUCCAAAACUGGCGAGCUAGAGUUGGGCAGAGGGUGGUGGAAUUUCCUGUGUAGCGGUGAAAUGCGUAGAUAUAGGAAGGAACACCAGUGGCGAAGGCGACCACCUGGGCUCAUACUGACACUGAGGUGCGAAAGCGUGGGGAGCAAACAGG